Molecule: ribosomal RNA, 253 nt
Filed under: uncultured bacterium
Lineage: Bacteria
Description: partial 16S ribosomal RNA
Rfam family: Bacterial small subunit ribosomal RNA
Source: RNAcentral
UACAGAGGUCUCAAGCGUUGUUCGGAUUCAUUGGGCGUAAAGGGUGUGUAGGUGGCGCCGUAAGUCGGGUGUGAAAUUUCGGAGCUUAACUCCGAAACUGCAUUUGAUACUGCGGUGCUUGAGGACUGGAGAGGAGACUGGAAUUCACGGUGUAGCAGUGAAAUGCGUAGAGAUCGUGAGGAAGACCAGUGGCGAAGGCGGGUCUCUGGACAGUUCCUGACACUGAGGCACGAAGGCCAGGGGAGCAAACGGG